GAUGAACGCUGGCGGCGUGCCUAAUACAUGCAAGUCGAGCGAACGGACGAGAAGCUUGCUUCUCUGAUGUUAGCGGCGGACGGGUGAGUAACACGUGGAUAACCUACCUAUAAGACUGGGAUAACUUCGGGAAAUCGGAGCUAAUACCGGAUGAUAUUUUGAACCGCAUGGUUCAAAAGUGAAAGACGGUCUUGCUGUCACUUAUAGAUGGAUCCGCGCUGCAUUAGCUAGUUGGUAAGGUAACGGCUUACCAAGGCAACGAUGCAUAGCCGACCUGAGAGGGUGAUCGGCCACACUGGAACUGAGACACGGUCCAGACUCCUACGGGAGGCAGCAGUAGGGAAUCUUCCGCAAUGGGCGAAAGCCUGACGGAGCAACGCCGCGUGAGUGAUGAAGGUCUUCGGAUCGUAAAACUCUGUUAUUAGGGAAGAACAUAUGUGUAAGUAACUGUGCACAUCUUGACGGUACCUAAUCAGAAAGCCACGGCUAACUACGUG
Molecule: ribosomal RNA, 497 nt
Filed under: uncultured bacterium
Lineage: Bacteria
Description: partial 16S ribosomal RNA
Rfam family: Bacterial small subunit ribosomal RNA
Source: RNAcentral